RNAcentral lists this ribosomal RNA (485 nucleotides) under uncultured bacterium. Its description in RNAcentral is "partial 16S ribosomal RNA". It matches the Rfam family "Bacterial small subunit ribosomal RNA", at positions 27 to 507 of the family's 1533-position model. The record is from RNAcentral.
GAUUGAACGCUGGCGGAAUGCUUUACCCAUGCAAGUCGAACGGCAGCACGGGGGCAGCCCUGGUGGCGCGUGGCGAACGGGUGAGUAAUACAUCGGAACGUGCCCGGUCGUGGGGGAUAACGUAGCGAAAGUUACGCUAAUACCGCAUACGAUCUGAGGAUGAAAGCGGGGGACCUUCGGGCCUCGCGCGAUCGGAGCGGCCGAUGUCAGAUUAGGUAGUUGGUGGGGUAAAGGCCUACCAAGCCGACGAUCUGUAGCUGGUCUGAGAGGACGACCAGCCACACUGGGACUGAGACACGGCCCAGACUCCUACGGGAGGCAGCAGUGGGGAAUUUUGGACAAUGGGCGCAAGCCUGAUCCAGCCAUUCCGCGUGCAGGACGAAGGCCUUCGGGUUGUAAACUGCUUUUGUACGGAACGAAAAGGCUCUGGCUAAUACCUGGGGCUCAUGACGGUACCGUAAGAAUAAGCACCGGCUAACUACGUG